CACGUAGGAGACGAGCGUUAUCUGGAUUUACUGGGCGUAAAGAGCGUGUAGGCGGCUCUGCAAGUCCUGCGUGAAAUCUCGAGGCUCAACCUCGAGCGGUCGUGGGAAACUGGAGGGCUAGAGUGCGGGAGAGGGAAGUGGAAUUCCAGGUGUAGCGGUGAAAUGCGCAGAUAUCUGGAAGAACACCCGUGGCGAAGGCGGCUUCCUGGAACGACACUGACGCUGAGACGCGAAAGCGUGGGGAGCAAACAGG
This 253-nucleotide ribosomal RNA is filed under the name uncultured bacterium. RNAcentral describes it as "partial 16S ribosomal RNA". It matches the Rfam family "Bacterial small subunit ribosomal RNA", at positions 524 to 776 of the family's 1533-position model. The record is from RNAcentral.